UGGGGAAUAUUGGACAAUGGGCGCAAGCCUGAUCCAGCCAUGCCGCGUGAGUGAUGAAGGCCCUAGGGUUGUAAAGCUCUUUCACCGGUGAAGAUAAUGACGGUAACCGGGGAAGAAGCCCCGGCUAACUUCGUGCCAGCAGCCGCGGUAAUACGAAGGGGGCUAGCGUUGUUCGGAUUUACUGGGCGUAAAGCGCACGUAGGCGGACUAUUAAGUCAGGGGUGAAAUCCCGGGGCUCAACCCCGGAACUGCCUUUGAUACUGGUAGUCUUGAGUUCGAGAGAGGUGAGUGGAAUUCCGAGUGUAGAGGUGAAAUUCGUAGAUAUUCGGAGGAACACCAGUGGCGAAGGCGGCUCACUGGCUCGAUACUGACGCUGAGGUGCGAAAGCGUGGGGAGCAAACAGG
This 404-nucleotide ribosomal RNA is filed under the name Actinomycetes bacterium. Its description in RNAcentral is "Actinobacteria bacterium partial 16S ribosomal RNA". It matches the Rfam family "Bacterial small subunit ribosomal RNA", at positions 355 to 776 of the family's 1533-position model. The record is from RNAcentral. Lineage: Bacteria; Bacillati; Actinomycetota; Actinomycetes.